Molecule: ribosomal RNA, 433 nt
Filed under: uncultured bacterium
Lineage: Bacteria
Description: partial 16S ribosomal RNA
Rfam family: Bacterial small subunit ribosomal RNA
Source: RNAcentral
AACGAACGCUGGCGGCAUGCCUAACACAUGCAAGUCGAACGAGACCUUCGGGUCUAGUGGCGCGCGGGUGCGUAACGCGUGGGAACCUGCCCUUAGGUUCGGAAUAACUCCCCGAAAGGGGUGCUAAUACCGGAUAAUGUCUUCGGACCAAAGAUUUAUCGCCUUUGGAUGGGCCCGCGUUGGAUUAGCUAGUUGGUAGGGUAAAAGCCUACCAAGGCGACGAUCCAUAGCUGGUCUGAGAGGAUGAUCAGCCACACUGGGACUGAGACACGGCCCAGACUCCUACGGGAGGCAGCAGUGGGGAAUAUUGGAAAAUGGGCGAAAGCCUGAUCCAGCAAUGCCGCGUGAGUGAUGAAGGCCUUAGGGUUGUAAAGCUCUUUUACCCGGGAUGAUAAUGACAGUACCGGGAGAAUAAGCUCCGGCUAACUCCGUG